GCACUCUUAGCUCAGUUGGUAGAGCAACUGACUCUUAAUCAGUGGGUCCAGGG
RNAcentral lists this transfer RNA (53 nucleotides) under Bacteroides stercoris. RNAcentral describes it as "tRNA-Lys". It matches the Rfam family "tRNA", at positions 1 to 51 of the family's 71-position model. From Rfam's summary of the family: Transfer RNA (tRNA) molecules are approximately 80 nucleotides in length. Their secondary structure includes four short double-helical elements and three loops (D, anti-codon, and T loops). Lineage: Bacteria; Pseudomonadati; Bacteroidota; Bacteroidia; Bacteroidales; Bacteroidaceae. The record is from RNAcentral.